RNAcentral lists this ribosomal RNA (482 nucleotides) under uncultured bacterium. Its description in RNAcentral is "partial 16S ribosomal RNA". It matches the Rfam family "Bacterial small subunit ribosomal RNA", at positions 30 to 507 of the family's 1533-position model. The record is from RNAcentral.
AUUGAACGCUGGCGGCAUGCCUUACACAUGCCAGUCGAACGGUAACGGGCCUUCGGGUGCUGACGAGUGGCGAACGGGUGAGUAAUACAUCGGAACGUGCCCGAUCGUGGGGGAUAACGAGGCGAAGGCUUUGCUAAUACCGCAUACGAUCUACGGAUGAAAGCAGGGGACCGCAAGGCCUUGCGCGGACGGAGCGGCCGAUGGCAGAUUAGGUAGUUGGUGGGAUAAAAGCUUACCAAGCCGACGAUCUGUAGCUGGUCUGAGAGGAUGAUCAGCCACACUGGGACUGAGACACGGCCCAGACUCCUACGGGAGGCAGCAGUGGGGAAUUUUGGACAAUGGGCGCAAGCCUGAUCCAGCCAUGCCGCGUGCAGGAUGAAGGCCUUCGGGUUGUAAACUGCUUUUGUACGGAACGAAAAGCCUUCUUUUAAUACAGGAGGGUCAUGACGGUACCGUAAGAAUAAGCACCGGCUAACUACGUG